UUUUAGGUAACGUCAGGCGAACGUUUUUUUGUGGCGUUUCUGUUUAGAAACAUUACUAAACUUAGAUUAUUUUUGAAAAAAAGAAUAGUUAAACUUGAUUAAUAUAUAACAUUUAUGUGUGGUUGGUAAUUUUUGUAUUGCUUUUAUUUGUAUUAAAAACUUGGUUGUUGUUCUCACAUUAAAUUAUUGUCAAAGAAAUGCUCAGAUAGUUUGCAAACCUACCCAGAUAGUUUUUUACAUAUAUUUUUUAUCUACCUACCAAAUUUCAUUGAAUAAUAUUAUUGAGCAGAUAGUCUAUAAAAGUGAGCAGUUUUGGUACCUCAUUUCUGUUUUUCUGAUUUCCGUAAGUGGGUGGUAAGAGGGGUACAAACAAGUUGAAUUUUAUUUGUGUGACUUGUUUAUAGUUUCUAAAAUUUUAUUGGUUUCAUUGAAAUUGAAAACAUAAGCGUUGAUUACUAUAAUUCUAGCUAUAGGUUGUGGGUAACCAUUACCACCCUAUUUAACAAACUUCUCAACUUAACCAAAAUUUACGAAUAGCAGCGGAAAGACUUUUUUUUCAAAAGUAGGCUCAGUUGUGGUCUUUAUCUUUAGCUUGUAGGUUAUACUUGGUGCAAAAAGCCUAAUUCAGGUUUUAAAUUGUUAACUUAUUUUAAAAUAAUUAUAAUUGUUAUUAUAAAGAUUUAUUUAUUUUACUUAUUUUUUUUUUUUGGUUGGGGGGGGGCACACGCCCCUCCCACAAGUCAAUAAGCACACCACCAAUAAAUGAAUUUCUUGUAGCAAAAAAAAUUUUUAUGUUUUUUAUACUGUAUACUAGUUUCACUUAUUUUAUUAAA
Hydra vulgaris (swiftwater hydra) is the source of this 833-nucleotide long non-coding RNA. RefSeq lists it as uncharacterized. NCBI's taxonomy places the organism in Eukaryota, Metazoa, Cnidaria, Hydrozoa, Anthoathecata, Hydridae. The record is from RefSeq and is a predicted model, not a curated record.